Molecule: non-coding RNA, 442 nt
Organism: Marmota monax (woodchuck)
Lineage: Eukaryota; Metazoa; Chordata; Mammalia; Rodentia; Sciuridae
Source: the annotation of a RefSeq genome assembly
CACACAGGAGAACCCAGAUGGAAGCAGAAGACUUUAUACCCUGCAGGGGAGAGCUGUCAGCAUGACACUCGUGAGCUUGCCGUGGGCAAUCCUGGUCUCCAUCUGUCUUGAAGCCAGCAUGGCCCAGAGAGUCACCCAGUCUCAACUAGAAAUGUCAGUACAGGAGGCAGAGACCGCCACCCUGGACUGUACAUAUGACACACGUGAGAGUAAUUAUUAUUUGUUCUGGUACAAGCAAACUGUCAGUGGGCAGAUGAUUCCCAUUAUUCGCCAAGAAGCUUAUAAGCAAGAGAAUGCAACAGAGAAUCGCUUCUCAGUAAACUUCCAGAAAGCUGCCAAGUCCUUGGGUCUCAAGAUCUCAGACUCACAGCUGGGAGAUGCUGCUGUGUAUUUCUGUGCCCUCCAGGAGCACACAAUGAGACAAGCACCAGGGAGAGGCUGA